ACGUAGGGAGCAAGCGUUGUCCGGAUUUACUGGGUGUAAAGGGUGCGUAGGCGGCUUAGCAAGUCAGGCGUGAAAACUAUGGGCUUAACCCAUAGACUGCGUUUGAAACUGUUGAGCUUGAGUGAAGUAGAGGUAGGCGGAAUUCCCGGUGUAGCGGUGAAAUGCGUAGAGAUCGGGAGGAACACCAGUGGCGAAGGCGGCCUACUGGGCUUUAACUGACGCUGAGGCACGAAAGCAUGGGUAGCAAACAG
Molecule: ribosomal RNA, 251 nt
Filed under: uncultured prokaryote
Description: partial 16S rRNA
Rfam family: Bacterial small subunit ribosomal RNA
Source: RNAcentral